RNAcentral lists this long non-coding RNA (3863 nucleotides) under Chinchilla lanigera (long-tailed chinchilla). RNAcentral describes it as "lncRNA (ENSCLAG00000026656.1)". The record is from RNAcentral. Lineage: Eukaryota; Metazoa; Chordata; Mammalia; Rodentia; Chinchillidae.
GCAACACCAGCCCUCAUCACAGAGGGUGCUGCCAGGGCACAGGGCGAUGGAGCAGACACAGCGCUGGGUGUGGGGGAGGGGUGCCCCUCUUACCAACUCCUCAUGGAAUCAUAUGACGGGAAGAAUUGGGAAAUGCCCCAAGGAAGUACUAAGACUGCUUUUUAUCUCUUCUUACACAUUUUUUAAAAAUUCAUAUUUUAUUAUAUUUUCUAUUUUCUUUCAAGUUUUCAUUUUUCUCAGCACACGUUUGCAGUGCACAAUGACCACGCUCACCCGGGAGGCUGAAGGUGACACGGCACGUCUUCAUUCUUGCUCCAUCCCCUUCCCCCUCUUCUCACCCGUCCCCCCUUCUCUUGGCCCCUUUCCCUUCUGCGAACGAUCUAUCUCUCUGUUUCCUAUUACAAUUCACCUUUUACAAGCCACCUGUGUGUGCCCCUGCCCGUUCACCCUCUCCCCGAGUGUUGUCAACAACCCUGUUCACUGCAGCUCUGAUCAAGAACGUUACACAGCUUAGUUUUACUGAGAAAGCACGGGCAGCAUAUCUCCAAGGCUGCAGCAAGGAUGAGACUAUUCACCCCACUCUCUUCAAGCAACUUGAUGUAAGAGCCUCACCAGUUACAUGAUGCGACCAGCAGGCUUCCGGUUCCCAAACCAUCCCUUCCCAGUGCAGCAAACAAGAGCCAUAAACUGUGGCAAUCAGCCAAGUGUGGUAUGUAGCUUGACUUGCCCUCAUUUGUGUGUGUGUGUGUGUGUGUGUGUGUGUGUGUGAGAGAGAUUUUUGUUCUUUGGUCCUGGGACACAUUAUCAUUUCUGUAUUUGUUUUGUUUAUAUUUGCAAAAUACAAAUUGUGAUUUUCUGCCUGGGAACACCACAAAGUCCUUCCUCACCAAUACUGAGGCCACAGAAAACUCACAGAUUUCUCACAGAGGAAGCUUUAGACUCCUAUUAGAUACAAUAAUAUUCAUAGCACAUUCAUACAAUAAGAUACUCCUGUUUUCCUUUCUGUAAAGUGAAGUAGAAAACUGAGAUCUACCUAAGUACUAGGAAGAGCAAAGUUUAAGGUAUCCUUAUUGACUUCUUCAAAAAUACCUUACAAAAGCCUCUUGAACUAUAAAAGAUAUUUCCAUAAUUUUCUAGAAUUUUCUAUCUAUAUGAUCUACACAGUUAGGGUAUCUUUACAUUAAAGAUACAUUAAAAAUAAUGAUUCCAGAGAUAUGUCCCUUACCCAAAGAAAAGGUUAAAGGCCAUCUUUUAACAGAGCUUCCCAGCCAAUCAGUCUUCACAGAGAGCUGGUACAAGGAAUUAUCUCACAGAGGAUAUGUAUUAUGAGUAGCCGGAAACUUCCUACACUGGUCAGUUUUCUUUCUCCACACUCCUCACCAAUCCCUCAGUAGCAUGUUUUUGGUGACAUGACUGGAUGUAAAAAUUGUUCUUCUUUUCUGGAAACGUCAGGUGUUUUGCCGUGGCAUGGAGGGCUGUUGUUAUUUGUCUAGCCAUCUAAAAUAAGUCCUUUGGGUCCAAGAGCACCUCUACCUUUAAAAGCUGUGAUCACUGCUACCAAAUGCUCCCGGGCGCCGCUCUUCAGAUGAACUGGCUGCGUUCCAGCCAGGACUGGGUCUUUCAGAACCGUCACCAACAGAGCUAUCAAUACCAUUGUUUCCUUUCUAUAGGUGAAGCAGCUGGAGUUCUUUCGUCAUCAGAAUCUCUUCCAUGGCGCUGGAGUGAGCCUGUUAUUCACUGUCCUGGUUUUCCCUAUAAGGAUAGAUCACAGAAGGCUCAUUUGAAAAUGUAAAUAUUUUAUUUGAGAGGGACUCAGUCUAAUAAACUUACUAAACUUGAUCAUGAGGAACAAGAACAGGCCUGGGAAGAAAGAAGCAAGACAGACAGAUGUGUACUGUUGGGUCUAAGACGAAGACCGAGAGACAACAUUUUUGUAAUGCUCUGCAGUCUGGACGGGGUGCUCCAGGGAAGGCAGCCUGGGCCAGCAGGGCACUGCUAGUGUACAGGGUGCUGCGGGGGGCUGGCACAGACUGAGGAUCCCCUGGAGGAAGGGGUGGGUGGUGAGACAGUCAGAAGGCUGCCUACAAGGUUAUUCCACUCGAGGACAGGUCUGUGUUGUCCAAAUAAGGGCCCUGCCUUAUAUCCUAUAAAUAUUAUCUAUCUCCAGAUCUGGGGACCACCGGCCAGGAAGAUGGAUAUGUUGGCACCCCCCCCUUGGGAUCUCGGCAUUUAUGGUAAAUAUGGCAGUCAGGUCACAAUGUCUUCCCUUUAGACAACAUGAAAGAGCAGCAAGAAUUAAACUAACGAUGCACUGCCCAUCCAGCGCUUGUCCAAAUUAUAUUCCAAAACAAUGACUUCCUCCAGAAAUGUGUAUUGCUACAAAACAUUUGGAAGAAAACAUCUGAGAUAAAAUGAUUUUUUGUUUCUUGCACAACCAUACCCUUGGCACUAUGUCAACAUCUACCAUUUCAAAGAAAACAUUGAUAUGAGGACGUCAAAUAUUAAAACAACAAAUCAAGGGGCUGGGGAUUUAGCUCAGUGGCAAAGCGCCUGCCUGGCAAGCGUAAGGUCAUGAGUUCGGUUCCUGGUACCGGAGAAAAACCAAAAAAAAAAAAAAAAAAAACAAACAAAAAAAACAAAUCAUAUGUCUUCUGCAGGAAAAUAAGGAACUAAGCCUUUCAUGUGUUUUUGGCAGGGAUGUGGUAGGCUUAGGAUUUGGAGUGAGACUAUGUUUCUCUUUAACAUGAUAGAAUUGGGGAAAAAGACACGUUAUGUUCAGCACACUCAUCCUUCAGAUGGUGAAACAGUUCCUUGAGAAAUGAGAUGACAAAUGCAUUUUUGGUUUUACAAAAUCGACUCCUGUUUUUCUUCAGUUGGUAUUUAAUUGGCAAUAAGAAUAUUUUCCACAGAGUGAACGAGACACCUGGGGCUCUCAUUGGUAAUGCAUCGGGGCUGUGGGAUCAAUGGCAGAAGAUCAUUUCAACUUCCUUUGAAAGGUAGAAGGGAAGCAGGAUUUGCCAAGCUGGAAGUAGUGUGACAACCACGUAAUGUGGAGCUUUUUCAUGCAGGGCCACAUUAAGCUUCCGGGUGACAUCCAUGUGAGAGUUUGUGUACUAGGGCCACAGCUCCCACCAACUCCUAAAUGGUCACUGAUGUAAAGUAAAAUCAAAGUGAAAGAGUCAGAAACAGAAGUGUAUUUUGGAGAAAACAAAUACCACCACGGAACUGAACAGUAACGGGAGGGAAGCGUUUGCUUACACAAGCACUUUUCUGAGGACCAGGCCCCUGCGGGGGGGGAGGCAGAGCCUCCCUGCCCCAGGAUGCAGCCCCUCACACAGCGAUCUCCAAGUUUUACCUUUCAGUCUCCCCAACCUCAUCGUUUGAUGAUGGAGGCUGACCAGUCCCAACAUGAACAGUCACCAACCUGCAGACCUAGGAGAACUGAUUGCUAAGUUCAGGUCCCCAAACCCAGAAGCUUAAGACUCAGGAAAAGCCAUUCAAAGGUAAGACCACAGCCCAGUUUAGACAAUCAGGAUCCAAUGGGAUUAUUGAGCUAUUCAAUCUUCAACUGAGUUCGUGAAGCCCACCCAGGUAGGGAGGAAAUUCGGAUUUACUCAGGCUACUAACUCAGAUAUUCUUCUCCAUCAGAGACACCACCACAGACACACCCAGAAAAACGUGUGACUGAAUGUCGGGACAUCCUAGUGGAGGUGACGUACAAAACAUGCCAUUGCAGAGAGGUGGUUCUUUCUAACAGGCACACCAGCACCUGCAUAUCAAAUAUCUAUUUUAUCUUUUUUUUUAAAACUACCAGUUCCAUAAACUGUACAGUUCUAAUAAUAACGGCUGGCCUUCUUCACUGA